Molecule: ribosomal RNA, 229 nt
Filed under: uncultured bacterium
Lineage: Bacteria
Description: partial 16S ribosomal RNA
Rfam family: Bacterial small subunit ribosomal RNA
Source: RNAcentral
UCCGUAGGCGGGCGACUAAGUCAGAGGUGAAAUCCCACAGCUUAACUGUGGAACUGCCUUUGAUACUGGUUGUCUUGAGUUAUAGUGAAGUAGAUAGAAUAUGUAGUGUAGCGGUGAAAUGCAUAGAUAUUACAUAGAAUACCGAUUGCGAAGGCAGUCUACUAACUGUAUACUGACGCUAAUGGACGAAAGCGUGGGGAGCGAACAGGAUUAGAUACCCUGGUAGUCC